Molecule: non-coding RNA, 7637 nt
Organism: Macaca mulatta (Rhesus monkey)
Lineage: Eukaryota; Metazoa; Chordata; Mammalia; Primates; Cercopithecidae
Source: RefSeq, a predicted model, not a curated record
UUGCACAGAUGGAGCUGCGGGGGCCGGGAUUCAGCAGUGCUGGCAGCUCCCUGUCCUUUAGGAACCCUUGAUCUGCAUGGGUCGGGAAGCUCUGGCCAGCCUGCAGUGCUCACUUGCUUCUUGCUGGCUAACAGUCACUUAUUUUUGUUUUGUAUCUGACGGCCACCUGCUCAGAAGAUAUGAAUUCCUUCCGGGCCUGGUUCAGUCCACAGAUGAGGGAGCAGCGUCAUGGGAGGUUAGGUGGACUUGCCCACGGCUUGACCCUCUGCUGACACUCAGUUUCAUAGGUGCCUCAGGCAUAGAGCUGCCUAGUGAGAAGAGAGUCUCCACAGCCUCGGGGCAGAAGAUUUGGGAGGACUAGAGGCAGAGGUGCUGAUCUCACUGCUCCUAGAUCUGCAGAGCUGAUGCUGGAUUUGGGGAAGGCUCACAUCAUCUUCCUUCCAGGUGGUCCAGAAAUAUUCAGAGUGCUUAUACAUGGAAGUCUCACUACAGAUACUGCAGAAAAGAAUGAGGCCCUGUACAGUUCACAGCAAUAAAGGCUACGUGAAUUGAGUGCCACGAGGGAGAAAUAAGCAGGCUGAGCUGACCCAGGGAGGCUUCUCAGAGGAGGUGUUUUUGGGAAUCACCCCAAGUCACAAAUGGGAGGCCUCAGCACCCAAGAGGAUGAAAUCAGCCCGGGAUCAUUCCAGCCCUUGCCGCCCACAGCCACUGAAGUGCUUGUCUGAGUCUUGCUGGAAACAUGGGCCCAUAUUAGUGAUUACGUGCCUUGCAGUAGCAGACUCAAAGCUUUCUCUGCUGAGAAGUUUCCAGCAGUUCCAUCAGUGUGAGCCAGGAACUGAUGACCUGAACGACCUGGAGCAUGGCAAGGUCCCUGCUGCUGGAGGUUUUGGGAGAGGCCAGGCUGCCUCUCUGUGCUGCUGUCCCUAGAGCCCGGAAAGCAAAGGACCAUCUCUGCAGGCAAAGCAGGAGCAGCGCCUGCCAGUAUCUUCUAAAGGAAGUCGGAAUGUGCGGGUGCUGGGUCCGCAGUCACUGCUAAAUGAAGACGGAAUAUGUGGGUGCCGGGCACAGCGGUGGGCCUGUGGUCACUGCUAAAUGAAGAUGGAAUAUGUGUGCUGGGCACGGCGCUAGGCCCGUCGUCACUGCUAAAUGAAGAUGGAAUAUGCCGGUGCUGGGCACGGUGCUGGACCUGCAGUCACUGUUAAAUGAAGAUGUAAUGUGCAGGUGCUGGGCACAGCAUGGAGCCCAUAGUCACUAUUAAAUGAAGAUGGAAUGUGGGUGCUGGGCAUGGCGCUGGGCCCAUGGUCACUACUAAAUGAAGAUGGAAUAUGUGGGUGCUGGGCACAGUGCUGGGCCUGCGGUCACUGCUAAAUGAAGAUGGAAUGUGCCAGUGCUAGGCCUGCUGUCACUGUGAAGUGGUGGGGCGGGGCUGUUUCUACCUCACUGCUGCCCUGUCCAUACUAGGUUUGCUCUGGCCUUCCUGUUGCCUGGGGCCUGCCCUCUCUUGCUGUUGCGGAACAGGCAGGAUAAUCUCUCUCCAGGGCAAGGAAUGCACUCGGGCCAGGGACUCCUCACCACCAGCUUGAGGGACUGUGCCCAACCCCACCUCCUUCAGGAGGGUGUCCCAAGUUCUGUCCUUGCCUAAGCAACUGGCACCUGUGCUCAAAAUAUUUAUUGCCCCCAUGCCAGCUGCUCUCCCACUUGUCCUGUCAAAGGGAGAGUGGGGGCCUGGGGGAGUCUUGCUGCAUCCCAGUCCAAGCCCAUCAGAUGUGGGGGACUUUUGCCCUCUGACCCUGCUCCUUAUGAGGCACAGCUUGCACAAAGUGACAGCCCUGGUGCUACCUGAGCCCAUGGGACUCAGCUCUUCAUCCUCUCAGGGCCUCUUUUGGUCUAGGUGCCCAGGGCACUGAGCGAGACCUGGAGUGACAGGAACACAUGACUCAUGGAGCAGAGGUGGAACAGCCACUCGGGGUGAGUGUGUGCCCUCCCUGGGGGCCAUUCCCUCUCUCUUGUCCUAGGAGCUUGGGGUGCCUGUGCUUGAGGCGGGAAGCUGUGUGCUCCUGGGAGCUGGCCAUGGUGCCAUCUUCUAGGGCCAUUUCUCAUGCCUCCCAGUUUCCAGUCCCUCCUGACUCCCCUCCUUCUGGGUCCUCCAUGGCGCAAUGAUAUAUUUCAUAUUUCUAUGGAAGGGGUGUCAUGUCUCAGCCCCCACACUAGCGCACACACACACGCAUGCACACACACACACACACAUAUAUAUAUACACACAUAUAUAUAUAUAUAUAUGUUUUUUUUUUGCCAAGUAAGCUUGGACUCAAACGUCAGUUUCUUUGAACAGAUUUGUCAAUGACCUCAAAUUAAACUCUCCCAUUUGAGAAAUGGCAGGUGCUGCCCUUAAUACAUCUUGCAGGCCUGGGAGUGACAGGUGUGGGGCCUGCUCACCUCGGAUCAACCCUCUGGGCCUUGGUGAUCACAUCUGUACAAUGAACAUCACAAACAUUCUUCCAGCUCUGACACCCCGAGUUUGUAAAAUGAGGUGAAAACUUGCUGGGCAAGAGAAAUGAUCCAUUAGCAAGGACAUGGACAUCUUCUCCCAAACUCUUAGCUCUUGUCGAGGUUCCCAAGAGCGUACCUCUAUAAAAGUUCUAGAUCUGAAGGCAUGCAACUUGUUAGCCAGGAAAAACACCUUCUUGCUCACUCUUGUCAGACUUUAGAAUGUCAGCAUAUGAACAAGCUGGAAUUUAUAUUCAUAAUGUUGGCCGCUGUUUGGCACUUGCUUGGAUUUUGAGAUAUGAAUUAUACUUGUGAUUGUGUCCCGCUCUAGGGCUUAGGUUACUUUUUAUUUGAGGUUAAUACAUGUGGAGGAUUGGAUGUGGACCGGGUGAGUCUGGCCAGGGACAGAUUACAGGGCCCUGGGUUAUUUUCUCUUGUUCUUUACCCAUUCACAUUGGUGCCAAUUAUUUUGAAAAUGAACGAUGGUCCAUAAAUAUGAGAGCAAAGCCUGGGUGCAUUGCCCUGAGCCUUGCUGUCCUCCCUGGUACUGGUUUGUGCCUCCUCUUCUGGGGUGCACAGGAGAGGCAGACUGGGGCCUGGGGAGAUUGGCAGUGUGACAGCGCUGGGACUGACCCUCAGAAUCCCUAGUCUGAGAGUGACAAAUUACCAAGCUUUCCAGACAGGCUGGUAGCUCCUAUCACCUCUAUUUCUAAGGAAAGAAACAUAGAGACAGUUACAAAUUCGUUGAGAUUACCUUUGGCAAUGCCUUACAUUGCCCUUAAAGUAUAGGGUACACAGGCUGGUGUACAGUACAGAAGCAGUGCAUAGUCCAGAAAUAGCACACCAUAAAUGAACGCUAUAGAGCAAUGUAGGUGUGAGAUGGAUGCAUGUGGGAUGCCAUCUGACAAUACACAUAGAAGACAGAAAAAGGCCAGUCCAUAUGCAUUAGGAUGGCUGCUAUCAGAAGAAUGGGGAAGGUAAGAGUGGGUGAGGACAGAGAGAAACUGGAGCCCUGAACUUUGCUGGUGGAAAUGAAAAAUGGCAUAUCCAUUGUGGAAAACAGUGCAGCAGUUAUUCAAAAGGCAAACACAUAAGCAAAAUAAUCCUGAUGCAGAAACACAAAUAUUGCACAUUCUUACUCAUAUGUGGGAGCUAAAAACAUUGAUCUCGUGGAGGUAAAGAAUGAUAGACACCAGAGACUGUGGAAGGUAGCGGGGAGGAGAGAUGAAGAGGGAUCGGUCAAUGGUUAAAAAGUACAGAUAGGUGGAAGGAAUAAGUUCUAGUGUUUCACAGCACAGUAGGGUGACUUUAGUGAACCAUAAUUUAUUUUGUAUUUCAAAAUAGCGAGCAGAAAAGAUUUGUAACAUUCCCAACACAAAUGUUUGGGGUAGUGGAUAUCCCAGUUACCCAGAUUUGGUCAUUACACAUUGUACGCAUAUAUCAAAAUAGUACAUGUACCACAUACAUAUGUACAACCCUGAUGUAUCCAUAAAAGUUAAAAAUAAUAAGUUAAACAAUAAACGGAAUCACCAUGGGAUCCAGCAAUCCCACUUCUAGGUGAAGCUCACUGAAAUAAGUCAUACACAAAAGGACAAAUGUAGUAUGAUGUGUUUACACUGAUAUGAAGCUACCUAGAAUAGGCAGAUUCUUAGGGACAGAAAGUCAGAUAGAGGCUGCUGGGACCUGUGGCAGGGGAGGAUGUGGAGUUAUCGUUUAAUGGGGACAGAGUUUCUGCUGGGGAAGAUAAGACAGUUCCCGGGGUGGACGACGGUGUGAUUGCACAACAUUGUAGAUGUCCCCAGUGCCACUUAAAAAUGGUUAGAAUUGUAAAUUUUAUGUUAUGCACAUUUUAUUAUAAGAAAAAAAGGAGAGCAAAGGCAGCUGUGGGUGAGUUCAUGGCGUUUCUCCUGAGUUCCAGCAGGCCCUAUCUGUGAUGUCCCACAGUCCUGUUGCAUGGGUAGGGCUGGUGGCAUCGCUGGUCCCAUUUUAUAGAUGACCAAACAAGUCACAGGGACAUACCUGUGUGUUCUCAUUCACACUCCUGUUCAUUGUCUGCCUCCCUACACGGGGGUGUGCAUUCUCUCAGGGCAGGGACCUUGUGGGGCCGCUCACCCCAGUGUUCUCAGGGCCUGGCACAUAGAAGAUAUUUGCACUGAAUGAAGAAGUGAAUGGCACACUUCAUGUGAGGCUGGCCCCGGAGCUAGUAAGGAGCAGGCCCAGAACACUGCCCAGUCCUCCUGCUCUGGCCCUGUAUUCUCCAGUGCCUCAGGCUGCCUGGAGGGUGAGUGGGAACACCAUACACAUGAAGCACCUUCCUACCCCAAACCAGGGCAGAUGGCCUCUGAACAGCUGCACUUGGACAACAGGCCUCUGCUUUGGGGUCACCCCAUUUUCUUGGCUGGAACUCCUCCCAGCCUCCCACUCCACCCUACUUAGACCCUGUCCCAGUGCUGGCAGGUGUGCCCACAAAGGUGUGGCCUCUUCUCCUGUCUCCCGACCUCUGGACCCAGGCAUAUUCUGCUUCCUCAGUCUUGGGCCAGAGUGGGAAGCUGACCUCAUCCCUCCCAGGGUGGCCAAGAGCCAGUGGCUGACCCCAGGCUCACCCCUCACCUGUGCAGCCUCCUUUUCCUCCCACAUCCUCCUCCCAGGUGGGCCUGUGCCUGGGGUUACCAUUGCAACUCCACUUCUCCCCACCCCGGCACAGUGUGCCUGUCUGAUCUGUGCUGGCCACAGAUCCAGAGGCUCCUUGCUGAGCCUGCAAUUGCUGCCCUAGUGGACCCAGUUACACCCCUGCUUUUUGGGUGUGGUGUGGAAAAGGCCAGGAAGGGUAAAGAGUAGAAGAGAAGGAAGAGGGAAGGAAAGGCCUGUCUCCCACCACACCCAUCCUUUUAUGAAGUCAGGCUCUGAGAGUGACAGGGAGUGAUAGGCUUGUAAAAUUGUAAAAACUACUGGGCACAGACAUGAUUUGCUAGCUAAGCAUGUGAGCAUCUGUCCUCCAGUCUCUUCUUAGCCUGCACCCUGUGUUCGAGGUUAUGGCACCAUCAGUUUCUUCUGCUUCAAAAGAGCCUAAAGUGGCUCAUCUCUUCUCAGUCCUGGUCCUUGGUUUAAGCCUUCUGAGGCUUCUAACUUGGCUGAUAACAUUGGCAUCUGCCAAUACCUCAGGCUUAAAAUCUCAGGGCCAGCAUUUGCUCCUAGUUUUCCUUUAGUGCUUCCCAGUUCAACAGAAGUCCUGCCCUUUCCACCUCCCUUGCUACCACCCUAGUGGCUGCUGGGGCCCCAGGGUCUGCCUAUUUAUCCUCUGAUGCGGUGCCAUUGACCGCUGACUGACUCUCUGCCACACGACAGCCAGGGGGUGGCUCAAAAAACACAGAACCACCAUAUUAUUCCCCAGUGUAAGAUUUCAACAGCUUUCUAGUUCCUGCGGGUCAUGUAGGCAGCCCUCACCAGGCUCUGGGACAAUAGUGUGCUGGCUGGUAUACAUUUAACAAAAACUGUCCGGGGAAAAAGCCCUUACAUAUAUGUAGCAUUUGCCAAUUUCUGUGGUAUAAAUACCCCCACUGUGGCUGAUUUCAAGUCAUCCACAUGAUGUCACUGAGUGAAGGGCUGGGAAGAGAUGCCUAGAAUCACAAUGUUAGACAGCAUCUCCCCCGUGCAGUACAACGGACACUAAAUGACCAAGAGCAGAGGUAAGAGGAAAGAAAAUGUAGUCAAAUAAUUAGGAUGUGAUGAGUUUGGGGGUACUUAUUACACUUUAUCUAAUGUAUUUAAUUGAAAAUAACUUAAUGAUGGCUUUGUUUAACAUCCAGCUCUAAAAAUAGCUGAAAAUUUAACCAUUAGCUCUCACAAGCUAGCACAAGUCAGCUGCGGUGCAUAACUGCCUGUGAGCAAGGUUGUCUCCGUUUUGACUGGGGGUAUAGCGAAGGGCCAUGGGUUUGGGAGUCCAGUCGAGUUAACUUGCACAUGGACCCUCCUCUGGUUUCCAGUGAUCAAGUCCAGCAUGGUAGGUCUUGUCCUACUCUAGUUUCUUGAGCGGAAUCUCAGGUCCUCCAUAAAGUGGUCCUGUCUUGCAGUUCUCAGUUUCUUUCAACUUCAAGAGUCUGUCUACUCCUGUGUGUGUUUGUGAUAUAGUUGCAGCAGCUGGAGCUAGGCCCUGCCAUGACCUCUGCAGGGUGCACAGGCCAUGCCCUCCAUGUGGCUGUGCUUUGCCUGACCACCCAUCUCCUUGGCACCAUCAUUCUCACAGAGCUGGAAGGCAGAAGCUCUGUCCUGUAACCAGUGUGGUGGGGUGGGCUAGACCACCUGUGGCCUGGGCUCUGUGUCUGCAGCCCUCUUGCUAUGCUGAAUGAACACUGUUGGAUGUCACUUGAUGGCUCCCUAGAAGAAAUUAGUGGAGUUAGACUUCUGCCUGCAGAGGAAAGUGUAUUAGAAACAAAACCAAAGCCUAAUCAAACAAAAGAAGCUCUGAGCUUGCACAUCAGGUGUAUUGUCUUCUGCAAAUGCACGAAGUUAGAAAAGGCCAGGAAGAUUAAUGAGUGGAAGAGAAGGAAGAGGGAAGGAGAGGCCUGUCUCCCACCAUGCCCAUCCUUUUAUGAGGUCAGGCUCUCAGAGAACUGCUGCUUUUGCUUAUGGAGUCAGAACAGACCCCAGCGACCUUCACACCUGCCUAAAGAGCUCAAGAAGAAUCCAGCCUCUGAAUCGAGAUCACUUCUUUUUCUCCCAAGGAGGGGCUUGUGCACACUUGGGAAAGCCAUCCUCAGAUUUGGAUCCACACUGAAGUGAGUGCUAGAGGCACACUCCAGAGCCUGAGAACCUGGAGGACAGGCCAUCCUGGACACCAGCAUGGAGUCAGCUAUCCGUGGAAUCGAAAUACAAAGCAUCACACACCCAACACUUCAUCUCUAAUUCGUGUACCCUUUUCAUUUGAGGAACCACAAUGCAGAUGAAUUGGAAAAGCCCCUGGACUCUGGUAAAAUGCCAUUUGAAAUUGUUAUAUGGUUUUCCAUUAGGAGAAGUUCAAGGAAUUGGUAAGACUUACGGUGGACAUUGUACAGAUCAUUGCAUAAUAAUUUUUCUUUGCAAUUAAUUAAUCUUCAUCUCUGACAUUCACUUCAAAUAUGUGAUGAUAAAAUGGGAAGGGAUCCUUGCUUGGG